Long non-coding RNA from Physeter macrocephalus (sperm whale), 1499 nucleotides. RefSeq lists it as uncharacterized. The record is from RefSeq and is a predicted model, not a curated record. The transcript has 3 exons. NCBI's taxonomy places the organism in Eukaryota, Metazoa, Chordata, Mammalia, Artiodactyla, Physeteridae.
GGGAGUGCCCGGCCCUGCGCCUGCGCACAGUACAACACUCGCCGUCCCCUCCCCUUCCUAAGGCUCUUCCUACCGCUGGGCUAUAGAUGGAAUCCUUGCCCCCUAUCAGCUCCUCCCAUUGACGAGGCCUGAGCACAUACCUGUCCCUGCAGCGCCACCUAUGGGCUGCAGGAAUACAGCGGGUUCUUCUGGAGCGGAGGCUUUGGGUCCACACUCUUCCAUUCAAGAUAUUUGGCUACCUCUCCAGCUGUCGAAGAAGAAGAAAAGCAAGUCAGCUGUAUACUCAGCUAUUACUCAAUGAUCAGGUCAAGGCUGAAGACAGAAUUCCGUGGCACCACAGACUCUGGGCUGAUACUGAUUCAAAAUUAGCAUCUGUCUUUGUGAUCUCUGGGCCACAUUCCUCCAUCUUGUUCACAAGAGCUUAUUCUGUACCCAGUGGCAGCUAAAAAAAAAAAAAAAAAAAAAAAAUGAAGUUGCCUGGCUGACAACUGCUGGGUUAGCUGCGCCAAGGAAAGAAGAGGUGGUAUCCUUGGAAGAAGGCAGCCCUUUCCCACCUCCUGGACCUCUAAAUGUAAACAUAUAUCUUAUUUUCUUUUUGGACUUGGAGGUCACUCUCUUGAGAUAAGCAAAAAGAGAUCCUCAUUUGUUUGCCAAGCUCAUGACUCCUUCUGAAUUCUUGUAAAUGACAACUUUGUUUAUUAACAGAAUAAUGUAUUUGAGAGUUAAAGUCUCAUUUUAUCCAACUUUCUGAUUUUGCAGAUUAGGAAAGAGAUCCAGAGACAUUAAUAGAUUUCCCUAAUAACAAUAACAUUAUUUUAUAUCACAUAGCUCAAAAGUACUAUUGCCUCCAUUUUACCAAAGAGGAAAGGGAUGAUCAGAGAGAUGAGGUGACUGGUCCAGGGCAGCACAGAGGGUUGGUAACAGAGGCUGGACUUUAAGCCAAGUCUCCUGAUUCCCUCUGUGAUGCUCUUUGAUGGACACCAUGCAGCCUCUGGGCACGGGAGGGGACUUUGGAAAUAGCUAGGUCUGCUGUCCAGAGCCCUGCUUUAUUUUCCUGUUUAUACUUGGUGAUCCAGAACACUACUAAAAAAGUAUAUGCAUUAAAAAAGUUAAAUUGCAUUUAUUUGUUCUUUAUUGGUAAAGCACAUGGUAUAAAAUUCAAAGGGCACAAAAGGGCAUACGGUGAAAAAAGGUCUCCCUCAUGCGCCUGUCCCCCAGCCAUCUAGUUUCCCUCCCCAAUCUCAUUUGUGUCCAUCAGAUAUGUGCUAUGCCUGGAUAAGCAAAUAUAUAUAUGUGUAAACAUUAAUUAUAUAUAUAAUUUUUACAGAAAAUGGAAUUAUAUUCUACCCUACUCUCCACCUUGCAUUUUAAAAAAUUUGAAGCGGAAGGGCAACAUGCGGGUAGGGGAGUAAGAGGUACAAAUUAUUAGGUAUAAAAUAAGUGACAAGGAUAUAUUGUACAACAUGGGGAAUAUAGCCAAUAUUUUAUAAUAACUAUAA